GGGCCCGCACAAGCGGUGGAGCAUGUGGUUUAAUUCGAUGAUACGCGAGGAACCUUACCAGGGUUUAAAUGCAGAACGACAGGGGUGGAAACACCCCCUUCUUCGGACGGACUGCAAGGUGCUGCAUGGUUGUCGUCAGCUCGUGCUGUGAAGUGUCGGGUUAAGUCCCAUAACGAGCGCAACCCCCAUUUCUAGUUGCCAGCGGUUCGGCCGGGGACUCUAGAGAAACUGCCAGCGUAAGCUGUGAGGAAGGUGGGGAUGACGUCAAAUCAUCACGGCCCUUACGUCCUGGGCUACACACGUGCUACAAUGGUCGGUACAGAGGGAAGCUACCCCGCAAGGGGAUGCGGAUCUAUAAAACCGAUCUCAGUUCGGAUCGGGGUCUGCAACUCGACCCCGUGAAGCUGGAAUCGCUAGUAAUCG
Molecule: ribosomal RNA, 423 nt
Filed under: uncultured bacterium
Lineage: Bacteria
Description: bacterial SSU rRNA
Rfam family: Bacterial small subunit ribosomal RNA
Source: RNAcentral